This 402-nucleotide ribosomal RNA is filed under the name Epiacizzia kuwayamai. RNAcentral describes it as "partial 16S ribosomal RNA". It matches the Rfam family "Bacterial large subunit ribosomal RNA", at positions 1823 to 2565 of the family's 2925-position model. The record is from RNAcentral. Lineage: Eukaryota; Metazoa; Arthropoda; Insecta; Hemiptera; Psyllidae.
AAACAUUUCUGGGAGAAAAUGUUUUUGGUUUAACCUGCUCAAUGCUGUAAAUAGCUGCAGUAUUUUGACUGUACAAAGGUAGCAUAAUCAUUAGUCUUUUGAUUGGAGGCUUGUAUGAAUGGUUUAACAGAAUAUUUUUUCCUUUGUGUAAAUUUAAAGUUUAUGUAAAAAUGCAUAAAUAUUUAAAUGGGACGAUAAGACCCUAUAGAAUUUUAAAAGCUAACUUUUUGUUGGGGUGACGAAAUAAACUUUCUUUCAUUCUAUGAAUAAAGAUCUUAAUUUAGAAAGUAAGAAAAAAUUACCUUAGGGAUAACAGCAUAAUUUUUUUAAAAAGUUCAAAUUUAUAAAAAAGAUUAUGACCUCGAUGUUGAAUUAAUAAAUUUUUGGUGUAGAAGUAAAUUU